RNAcentral lists this ribosomal RNA (170 nucleotides) under Uroconger lepturus (slender conger). Its description in RNAcentral is "partial 12S ribosomal RNA". The record is from RNAcentral. Lineage: Eukaryota; Metazoa; Chordata; Actinopteri; Anguilliformes; Congridae.
AACCGCGGUUAUACGAGAGACUCAAAUUGAUAAUUCACGGCGUAAAGGGUGACUAAAUAGUAAAAUUUAACUAAGGCCGAAUAUCUCCUGUACUGUCAUACGUUAACAGAGACAAGAAGCCCCACAACGAAAGUGGCCUUAAAUAUAUUGAACUCACGAGUAUUAAGAAA